This 301-nucleotide ribosomal RNA is filed under the name uncultured bacterium. Its description in RNAcentral is "partial 16S ribosomal RNA". It matches the Rfam family "Bacterial small subunit ribosomal RNA", at positions 509 to 807 of the family's 1533-position model. The record is from RNAcentral.
CAGCAGCCACGGUAAUACAAGGGGUGCAAGCGUUAUUCGGAUUGAUUGGGUGUAAAGGGUGUGCAGACGGCUUAGUAAGUCACUUGUUAAAUUCUUCGGCCUAACUGAAGGUCUGCAAGUGAUACUGAUGAGCUAGAGGGUGGAAGAGAGAAGUGGAAUUCUCGGAGUAGCGGUAAAAUGCGUAGAUCUCGAGAGGAACACCAAUGGCGAAGGCAGCUUCUUGGUCCAUUCCUGACGUUCAUACACGAAAGCGUGGGGAGCAAACAGGAUUAGAUACCCCUGUAGUCCCUGUCUCUUAUAC